CUACGGGCGGCUGCAGUAGGGAAUAUUGGACAAUGGGCAAAAGCCUGAUCCAGCAACGCCGCGUGUGCGAUGACGGCCUUCGGGUUGUAAAGCACUUUUAGAGGAGAUGAGAAAGGACAGUAUCCUCAGAAUAAGCCUCGGCGAACUACGUGCCAGCAGCCGCGGUAAAACGUAGGAGGCAAGCGUUAUCCGGAUUUAUUGGGCGUAAAGCGCGUGCAGGCGGUCUAGCAAGUUGGAUGUGAAAGCUCCCGGCUUAACCGGGAGAGGUCGUUCAAUACUGUUAGACUAGAGAAUGGGAGAGGGAGGUGGAAUUCUGGGUGUAGUGGUGAAAUGCGUAGAUAUCCAGAGGAACACCAGUGGCGAAAGCGGUCUCCUGGACCAUUUCUGACGCUAAGACGCGAAAGCUAGGGUAGCAAACGGGAUUAGAUACCCCCGUAGUC
This 440-nucleotide ribosomal RNA is filed under the name uncultured bacterium. Its description in RNAcentral is "partial 16S ribosomal RNA". It matches the Rfam family "Bacterial small subunit ribosomal RNA", at positions 339 to 795 of the family's 1533-position model. The record is from RNAcentral.